Molecule: ribosomal RNA, 291 nt
Filed under: uncultured eukaryote
Lineage: Eukaryota
Description: partial 18S ribosomal RNA
Rfam family: Eukaryotic small subunit ribosomal RNA
Source: RNAcentral
GGUUGAUCCUGCCAGUAGUCAUAUGCUUGUCUCAAAGAUUAAGCCAUGCAUGUCUCAGUGUAAACUUUUAAACAGUGAAACUGCGAAUGGCUCAUUAAAACAGUCAUAAUUUAUGUGAAAAUCAUUCUUACAUGGAUAACCGUGGGAAUUCUAGGGCUAAUACAUGCGUAAACCCGCAAGGGAUGUGUUUAUUAGAUUAAAACCAUCACUGUGGCAACACAGUUUCGUUGGAAUGAUAAUAACCGAUCGAAUCGCACGCGCAAGUGGCGAUGAUUCAUUCGAGUUUCUGAC